Ixodes scapularis (black-legged tick) is the source of this 46-nucleotide non-coding RNA. Lineage: Eukaryota; Metazoa; Arthropoda; Arachnida; Ixodida; Ixodidae. The record is from Rfam.
UCAACGGCUCUUUUCAGAGCCACCAAAUCGCUGGUUUUUCGGACCC